GGUGAGCAGGAGCUGCAGUUCAAACCCAGUCCUUCGGAUAAGCGGCCCAUCGGCACAGACUCGAUCCGCCUACUCGAGGGCGUCAGGUUACAGGCUUCCUGUCAGUGCGCCCGCUGUGCGCCAUAAUACCGUGGGCCUAGUGCGCAAUCUAACUACCAUCAAACGCUCACCCGGCCUCAUCAUUCCUGAUGCUCCUCCUUCGCCUGCGGCUGCGCGCCUGUGCAGCAGCAGCAGCAGCAGCAUGUGGGAGGCGCCCGGCUUCGACUAUUGGGCGCGGCUGGUCAGGCUGCUCCGGGCGGGCGGCAUCGACCCACCCGACGAGGCUCGUAUCGCGCUCAUAGCGCGGCACCUGAGCUCGCGCAUGCUCGCGGCACACACCGUG
This 382-nucleotide long non-coding RNA is filed under the name Chlamydomonas reinhardtii. RNAcentral describes it as "long non-coding RNA (CREI_LNC001482)". Lineage: Eukaryota; Viridiplantae; Chlorophyta; Chlorophyceae; Chlamydomonadales; Chlamydomonadaceae. The record is from RNAcentral.